This 374-nucleotide ribosomal RNA is filed under the name uncultured bacterium. RNAcentral's name for it is "bacterial SSU rRNA". It matches the Rfam family "Bacterial small subunit ribosomal RNA", at positions 524 to 898 of the family's 1533-position model. The record is from RNAcentral.
GACGAAGGGGGCAAGCGUUGUUCGGAAUUACUGGGCGUAAAGGGCGCGUAGGCGGCCUGAUAAGUCAGACGUGAAAGGCCUGGGCUCAACCUGGGAAUUGCGUUUGGGACUGUUGGGCUGGAGAGCGGGAGAGGAUGGUGGAAUUCCCAGUGUAGAGGUGAAAUUCGUAGAUAUUGGGAAGAACACCGGUGGCGAAGGCGGCCAUCUGGACCGUAUCUGACGCUGAGGCGCGAAAGCGUGGGGAGCAAACAGGAUUAGAUACCCUGGUAGUCCACGCUGUAAACGAUGAGUGCUGGACGUUGGUGGGCUUGCCUGCCGGUGUCGCAGCUAACGCGUUAAGCACUCCGCCUGGGGAGUACGGCCGCAAGGUUGAA